GCUGAAGUAGCUCAGUUGGUAGAGCACGUCCUUGGUAAGGACGGGGUCACGAGUUCAAUUCUCGUCUUCAGCU
RNAcentral lists this transfer RNA (73 nucleotides) under Candidatus Omnitrophota bacterium. RNAcentral describes it as "tRNA-Thr". It matches the Rfam family "tRNA". Rfam says of the family: Transfer RNA (tRNA) molecules are approximately 80 nucleotides in length. Their secondary structure includes four short double-helical elements and three loops (D, anti-codon, and T loops). Further hydrogen bonds mediate the characteristic L-shaped molecular structure. tRNAs have two regions of fundamental functional importance: the anti-codon, which is responsible for specific mRNA codon recognition, and the 3' end, to which the tRNAs corresponding amino acid is attached (by aminoacyl-tRNA synthetases). tRNAs cope with the degeneracy of the genetic code in two manners: having more than one tRNA (with a specific anti-codon) for a particular amino acid; and 'wobble' base-pairing, i.e. permitting non-standard base-pairing at the 3rd anti-codon position. Lineage: Bacteria; Pseudomonadati; Candidatus Omnitrophota. The record is from RNAcentral.